GGUAAAUAACACGUAUUGAUGAGUGAGAGUGUCAGCGAGGUAAGGGAGAUCACUCUAGCGAAACAAAUAUAGAGAAGCAGACGGCAAUGGCGGCCAUGAGAGCGAAAGGAUGUUGUACGCUAUAUGCCAGUAUGACUACUGAAGGCAAAAGAGAUGUAAAAUUGGCUGUGGAUAUCGCUGUGUUUUCAGGAGAACAGAUUGAUUGGUUUAAACUGGGCAACUCUCUUCUACGUCCAGUGUGAAGGGUAUAUUCCGGUGUCUUAUAGAGGGAGAAAACACUUUGUGGGGAACAUUUGUAACCGUGGAGUCAUUCUCAAACUGUUAAAUUAAGUCCACGACGUGUGAGGCCAAACACUGCAAGGUAGCUAGCCGUUGAAGUCUGUGAUAUUAGCAAAAGAAUAAAUGUGUCUUCAUUUUUGCCUUUAAAGCAGCAGAAGACCCGUGGAUGUGGCCGGUAAUUGGUCGUCACUACAGACUGAGAUCAUGUUUAAAGAACACUUGACCAAAGUAAUAGCGAAUUUAGUCUGGGUGGACUUGCGGGUAACUAAGAAGUGUAUGACUUGGUAUGCCUGACAGAUGCAAGUGCAAUUUUGGGGUGUAAAGCAGUAUAUUUUUUUAAAAAUAAGCUUUUAUAUUUUUUAUAUUUUAUAUUUUAUAUUUUAUUUUAUUGAAGUUUGCUACAUUAUUCUUUUAACUUAAGCAUGAGCAACGUGCAAUUCCGUGGCUUCCAUGGUUUUUAAGGCAAAAUACAUCAGAACUUUAA
Molecule: long non-coding RNA, 763 nt
Organism: Pomacea canaliculata
Lineage: Eukaryota; Metazoa; Mollusca; Gastropoda; Architaenioglossa; Ampullariidae
Exons: 2
Source: RefSeq, a predicted model, not a curated record